RNAcentral lists this ribosomal RNA (231 nucleotides) under uncultured bacterium. RNAcentral's name for it is "partial 16S ribosomal RNA". It matches the Rfam family "Bacterial small subunit ribosomal RNA", at positions 99 to 334 of the family's 1533-position model. The record is from RNAcentral.
CGGACGGGUGAGUAAUGUCUGGGAAACUGCCUGAUGGAGGGGGAUAACUACUGAAACGGUAGCUAAUACCGCAUAACGUCGCAAGACCAAAGAGGGGGACCUUCGGGCCUCUUGCCAUCGGAUGUGCCCAGAUGGGAUUAGCUAGUAGGUGGGGUAACGGCUCACCUAGGCGACGAUCCCUAGCUGGUCUGAGAGGAUGACCAGCCACACUGGAACUGAGACACGGUCCAG